RNAcentral lists this transfer RNA (63 nucleotides) under Neelides sp. FZ-2019. RNAcentral's name for it is "tRNA-Phe". The record is from RNAcentral. Lineage: Eukaryota; Metazoa; Arthropoda; Collembola; Neelipleona; Neelidae.
GUUUUUAUAGCUUAAUUUAAAGCAUGAUUUUGAAGAAGUUAGUAUGAAAGUUUUCUAAAAACA